UACGUAGGGGGCUAGCGUUGUCCGGAAUUACUGGGCGUAAAGAGCGCGUAGGCGGCCAGAUAAGUCCGGUGUGAAAGCCAAAGGCUCAACCUUUGAAUGGCGCUGGAAACUGUCUGGCUAGAGUCCGGGAGGGGCGAGUGGAAUUCCUGGUGUAGCGGUGAAAUGCGCAGAUAUCAGGAAGAACACCCGUGGCGAAAGCGGCUCUCUGGAACGAAGCUGACGCUGAGACGCGAAAGCGUGGGGAGCAAACAGG
This 253-nucleotide ribosomal RNA is filed under the name uncultured bacterium. RNAcentral's name for it is "partial 16S ribosomal RNA". It matches the Rfam family "Bacterial small subunit ribosomal RNA", at positions 524 to 776 of the family's 1533-position model. The record is from RNAcentral.